Molecule: ribosomal RNA, 254 nt
Filed under: uncultured bacterium
Lineage: Bacteria
Description: partial 16S ribosomal RNA
Rfam family: Bacterial small subunit ribosomal RNA
Source: RNAcentral
UACGUAGGGGGCGAGCGUUGUCCGGAUUUAUUGGGCGUAAAGAGCUCGUGGGCGGCUCGGUAAGUCGGAUGUGAAACCUCCAGGCUCAACCUGGAGACGCCAUCUGAUACUGCCGUGGCUUGAGUCCGGUAGAGGAGCAGGGAAUUCCUGGUGUAGCGGUGAAAUGCGCAGAUAUCAGGAGGAACACCGGUGGCGAAGGCGGGUCUCUGGGCCGAUACUGACGCUGAGGAGCGAAAGCGUGGGGAGCGAACAGG